Molecule: transfer-messenger RNA, 343 nt
Filed under: uncultured Faecalimonas sp.
Lineage: Bacteria; Bacillati; Bacillota; Clostridia; Lachnospirales; Lachnospiraceae
Rfam family: transfer-messenger RNA
About the family: Bacterial tmRNA, also known as 10Sa RNA or SsrA, is named for its dual tRNA and mRNA-like properties. Its role is to liberate the mRNA from a stalled ribosome.
Source: RNAcentral
GGGCUUGUACUGGUUUCGACGGGGGUUUUGAAGUUAGGGAAGCCAUCCGCGGUGCGGACCGCGUAAAAACUGCAAAUUAAAAUUAAACGCAAACGAUAAUUUAGCGUACGCUGCCUAGUGGCAGCAGUCGGCUUUAAGUCGCUCACUGCUUAAACGUCCGGCUUCAACAAGGUGAGGCACUUCGUUUCCUAAGCUUUGCGGAAAUGGAAGAAUUUAUGAAGCUACUAAAACAGGCAGCCUGUCAUUAGGCGGCUUGUGGAGGGAAUGUCAAAAUAAUGACUGUGAUGGGAGAUGCCUUAAGGGAUAGGCUUUCGGACAGGGGUUCGAUUCCCCUCAGGUCCAU